UGUAGUUUUUUUGUCAUAAAUACGACAGCUAUCUCUAGUAAAACUAAUAGUUUUAUGGAUAGUAAUUAAAUUAAAAGACCGGGAUCAGUUAUUAUAUUAUAACUAUCCAAGGGGUUAGUUUAAUUUUUUGAAAGCUUCGGCUAUUAGCGAUUUACUCGCAUAAACUUCCAUACAAAAUACAGAUGAUGACUAUUUUUGUAUGACAGUCUUGGCCAAAACACGUGCCAGCAGCCGCGGCAACACGGGAUUAGACGAGUGUUAUUCAUCUUUAAUAGGUUUAAAGGGUACCUAGACAGCAGAUUUAGCCCCCACUGAGUUGGAAUGGAACUUUUCUGCUAGAGUUUUAUGUGAGAGGGAUUUAGUACUAACAGAGUAGAGAUGAAAUUUUUUGAUACUGUAGGGCACUGAUAACGGCGAAGGCAGACCUUUAUGUAAAAACUGACGUUGAGGGACGAAGG
RNAcentral lists this ribosomal RNA (458 nucleotides) under Coniocarpon cinnabarinum. RNAcentral describes it as "partial 12S small subunit ribosomal RNA". It matches the Rfam family "Bacterial small subunit ribosomal RNA", at positions 424 to 759 of the family's 1533-position model. The record is from RNAcentral. Lineage: Eukaryota; Fungi; Ascomycota; Arthoniomycetes; Arthoniales; Arthoniaceae.